RNAcentral lists this ribosomal RNA (310 nucleotides) under uncultured bacterium. RNAcentral's name for it is "partial 16S ribosomal RNA". It matches the Rfam family "Bacterial small subunit ribosomal RNA", at positions 503 to 807 of the family's 1533-position model. The record is from RNAcentral.
AAGAGACAGCAGCAGCCACGGUAAUACGAAGGGGGCUAGCGUUGCUCGGAAUUACUGGGCGUAAAGGGAGCGUAGGCGGACAUUUAAGUCAGGGGUGAAAUCCCAGAGCUCAACUCUGGAACUGCCUUUGAUACUGGGUGUCUUGAGUGUGAUAGAGGUAUGUGGAACUCCGAGUGUAGAGGUGAAAUUCGUAGAUAUUCGGAAGAACACCAGUGGCGAAGGCGACAUACUGGAUCAUUACUGACGCUGAGGCUCGAAAGCGUGGGGAGCAAACAGGAUUAGAUACCCCGGUAGUCCCUGUCUCUUAUAC